This is a long non-coding RNA of Cuculus canorus (common cuckoo), 816 nucleotides long. RefSeq lists it as uncharacterized. NCBI's taxonomy places the organism in Eukaryota, Metazoa, Chordata, Aves, Cuculiformes, Cuculidae. The transcript is spliced from 3 exons. The record is from RefSeq and is a predicted model, not a curated record.
CCGCAGCACCUAUAACAUCUGUCUCAGCACUGCGAUUCUUGUAUGUUCACGUUGGUGAAGUGCCUCCUCACAAUCUAUUUCAAAGGCUGCAAAGGCCCAGGCGCCGGGGCGGCCUAAUCAUCAAGCUGCAGUGAAGGGCAGGAGUAAACAUGAUAUCCCUACGAGGCUUCAUCUGUUUGAGGAACUGAUCUCUGCUUCAGUUUGUCUUGUCCCUACCAAGAUUGGGCACUUGUCCUUAUGCAACACCAGCUCCUCAUCAUUUUGAUGGUUCAGCUUCACACUUGGAGGCCUACCGAUGGUGUCUCGCAAUCCAGUUUAAAGUGUCCAAAUCACUGAGGAACAACACAAGUGAACCUGGAGUCAUCAGGAACAUCAGAUGGCUAAUAUAGAAUGCUAAUGUAUAUUGCUGCUGUUUUCUUUCUAUCAGCAAAUAUAUCUGGACAUUCGCAAAACCAAGAGCUGUCUUGUUAAUCUCCUCACUUUUCCAGACCACUCUACUUUGGAGUUAGGAUUUGGAGGUUAUCCCAGAUCUAUCCUUAACUAUUGAGAGCUUUUGUGCUUCUCAUUGAUUAGGUUUUGAUAUUGGUUAAUAUACUGGAUGUGAUAUAAAUCUAAAAGCAGUGUUCCAGCUGCUUCUUUCUCUCCUACUUUUCUGGCCAAACCUCUAUGAAGAAUUUGAGCUAAAACAUACACUGAAAAUUCAUUUAAUCACUCUGUCCUCUUACAAAAAUAUUCCAUCCUAACCGCAUGUCCUUGUAAUGGCAAGGUUUCAGUAGUGCUUAUAGGACCUAAAAUCACACUGUACUAGGAAACAGA